RNAcentral lists this ribosomal RNA (301 nucleotides) under uncultured bacterium. RNAcentral's name for it is "partial 16S ribosomal RNA". It matches the Rfam family "Bacterial small subunit ribosomal RNA", at positions 509 to 807 of the family's 1533-position model. The record is from RNAcentral.
CAGCAGCCGCGGUAAUGCGUAGGUGGCAAGUGUUGUCCGGAAUUAUUGGGCGUAAAGGGCUCGCAGGCGGUUUCUUAAGUCUGAUGUGAAAGCCCCCGGCUCAACCGGGGAGGGUCAUUGGAAACUGGGAAACUUGAGUGCAGAAGAGGAGAGUGGAAUUCCACGUGUAGCGGUGAAAUGCGUAGAGAUGUGGAGGAACACCAGUGGCGAAGGCGACUCUCUGGUCUGUAACUGACGCUGAGGAGCGAAAGCGUGGGGAGCGAACAGGAUUAGAUACCCGAGUAGUCCCUGUCUCUUAUAC